GAUGAAGAACGCAGCGAAAUGCGAUAAGUAAUGUGAAUUGCAGAAUUCAGUGAAUCAUCGAAUCUUUGAACGCAUCUUGCGCUCCAUGGUAUUCUGAGGAGCAUGCCUGUUUGAGUGUCAUUAAAUUCUCAACUACACUGACUUUGAAUUGGUGUGGCUUGGAUUUGGGGGGAAAAUUGUUGUGGGCUUUUUGUAUAGUCUGCUCCCCUGAAAUUGAUUAGCGGUACCUUUGUGGAACUGUCUACAGGUGUGAUAAUUAUCUACAUCUUAGACAUCUGCUGGAAUGCUGCUUUCUAAACCUUACUUGUAUUGACAAUCUUGACCUCAAAUCAGGUAGGACUACCCGCUGAACUUAAGCAUAUCAAUAAGCGGAGGA
RNAcentral lists this unclassified non-coding RNA (376 nucleotides) under soil metagenome. Its description in RNAcentral is "partial contains 5.8S ribosomal RNA, internal transcribed spacer 2, and large subunit ribosomal RNA". The stretch from base 1 to 120 matches the Rfam family "5.8S ribosomal RNA", at positions 35 to 154 of the family's 154-position model. The record is from RNAcentral.